UUCGCUCGGGCAGUUUGGGCCAUAGUUCAAGUAGCUUCGAAUCUAUACCCACCACGUAGUGCACGGAACAUGUUCGGCAACUGGUUGCGGGGUAUUGAUAAACAAUUUUCUGCACAUAUUCUUGUGGGAGCGGCGGCCUUAUGCUGGGCACUGUGGCUUACCAGGAAUGUUGUGAUUUUUAAUAACAAAUGUGUCUCAUCUCCUAUGCAGAUUAUUCAUGUGUGUACACGAUGGCUCCGUACUUGGUCUACCCUGCAGAGACCGGAGGACACAAACCUUUUUAUGAUGGCGUCUACACGGCUGGAGCGUACGGCCAGGGAGGUUUUCUACCCCCAUGGAUGGCGGUGUGACCUACGGAUAGGAUCUGCCACUCCUUAG
Molecule: ribosomal RNA, 378 nt
Filed under: Triticum aestivum (bread wheat)
Lineage: Eukaryota; Viridiplantae; Streptophyta; Magnoliopsida; Poales; Poaceae
Description: partial small subunit ribosomal RNA
Source: RNAcentral